This 478-nucleotide ribosomal RNA is filed under the name uncultured bacterium. RNAcentral's name for it is "partial 16S ribosomal RNA". It matches the Rfam family "Bacterial small subunit ribosomal RNA", at positions 29 to 523 of the family's 1533-position model. The record is from RNAcentral.
AACAAACGUUGGCGGCGUGCCUAAUACAUGCAAGUCGAACGGGGAAAGUAGCAAUACGAGUACUAGUGGCGCACGGGUGAGGAAUACAUGGGUAAUCUGCCCUCGAGUUUGGGAUAACCAGUCGAAAGAUUGGCUAAUACCGGAUAUGACCACAGGAUCUGCGGAUCUAGGGGUAAAAGGUUUUUCGCUCGAGGAUGAGCCCAUGUGGGAUUAGCUAGUUGGUGAGGUAACGGCUCACCAAGGCGACGAUCCCUAACUGGUCUUAGAGGAUGAUCAGUCACACUGGAACUGAGACACGGUCCAGACUCCUACGGGAGGCAGCAGUAGGGAAUAUUGCACAAUGGAGGAAACUCUGAUGCAGCGACGCCGCGUGAGUGAUGAAGGCCUUCGGGUCGUAGAGCUCUGUCGUAUGGGACUAACACAAUGAAGGUACCAUGCAAGAAAGGAUCGGCUAACUUCGUGCCAGCAGCCGCAGUAA